UACGUAGGGUCCGAGCGUUGUCCGGAAUUAUUGGGCGUAAAGCGCGCGUAGGCGGCCACUUAAGUCGGAUGUGAAAGCCCCUGGCUCAACUGGGGAAGUGCACCCGAAACUGAAUGGCUUGAAUGCAAAAGAGGGUCGCGGAAUUCCCGGUGUAGAGGUGAAAUUCGUAGAUAUCGGGAGGAACACCGGUGGCGAAGGCGGCGACCUGGGUUGACAUUGACGCUGAGGCGCGAAAGCGUGGGGAGCAAACAGG
Molecule: ribosomal RNA, 253 nt
Filed under: uncultured bacterium
Lineage: Bacteria
Description: partial 16S ribosomal RNA
Rfam family: Bacterial small subunit ribosomal RNA
Source: RNAcentral